Lemur catta (Ring-tailed lemur) is the source of this 102-nucleotide small nucleolar RNA. RefSeq annotates it as small nucleolar RNA U13. The record is from RefSeq and is a predicted model, not a curated record. The transcript has a single exon. Lineage: Eukaryota; Metazoa; Chordata; Mammalia; Primates; Lemuridae.
ACCCCCUGGGUGUGCGAGAAGGUGCUGACAGGUUUCACAUGCCUGUACGAGAUGUGCCUCCCUCAAACCUGGUCACGGACUUGGUGCCUUACCCGUGCGAUA